ACUGUGACGCCCCGACUUCCCAUGGGGUCACCCAUCCUAGGACUACUCCCGUCCUAGCACGCUUAACUCUCUUAGCCUUUUGGGCCAUGCUACCAUCCAAAAUGUUUAAGUCGGGUUAAAAAUUUUAGCCUUAUUAUAUCUUAUAUAUAAGAUUAUUCGGGGUCUCACAAUCUCACCCCCUCCUUUAAGACCUAACGUCUCUGUCAGGCUGCGACGUGAGACUCAUCUCGCUAACCUCCCAGGCUCUGCCGAGACUCAUUUCACACUUUCGGCUGUUAAUUUGCUCUGAUACCAACUGUGACGUCCUAACUUUCCAGGGAGUCACCCAUCCUAGAACUAUUUUCGUCCUAGCACGCUUAACUCUCUUAGCCUCUUGGGCCACGCUACCAUCCAAAAUAUUUAAGCCGGGUUAAGAGUUUUAGUUCUAUUAUAUUUUAUAUAUAAGACUAUUCAGGGUCUCAUAAUGUUCACUAAUGUUAGAUGGAUAAAAUUUAAAUGUUG
Molecule: long non-coding RNA, 501 nt
Filed under: Ananas comosus (pineapple)
Lineage: Eukaryota; Viridiplantae; Streptophyta; Magnoliopsida; Poales; Bromeliaceae
Description: long non-coding RNA (ACOM_LNC003193)
Source: RNAcentral